UGCCAGCCGCCGCGGUAAUACGGAGGGGGUUAGCGUUGUUCGGAAUUACUGGGCGUAAAGCGUACGUAGGCGGAUUAAUAAGUUAGAGGUGAAAUCCCUAAGCUCAACUUAGGAACUGCCUUUGAUACUAUCUUACUAGAGAUCGAGAGAAGUUAGCGGAAUUCCAAGUGUAGAGGUGAAAUUCGUAGAUAUUUGGAAGAACACCAGUGGCGAAAGCGGCUAACUGGCUCGUAUCUGACGCUGAGACGCGAAAGCGUGGGUAGCAAACAGGAUUAGAUA
This 279-nucleotide ribosomal RNA is filed under the name uncultured bacterium. Its description in RNAcentral is "partial 16S ribosomal RNA". It matches the Rfam family "Bacterial small subunit ribosomal RNA", at positions 506 to 784 of the family's 1533-position model. The record is from RNAcentral.